CUUCUUUGUGAGUAGGAGGGUCAAAGAAAUGUUCAUAUCCCUGCUUCUAGCUGAUAGAACAGAAAAACCCAAGAGAACAAAUACUCCGACCGAGGCAUGUGACACGAGCGAGGCACCAAAUGUCCCAGACCAACACCUGCACCAAAGGCUCUCUGUCCAGCUGUGGCCGGCUGCUCUGACAGCAGUCUCCAUGGCCAGUCGUGAAGAGCACGUUCUCUGACUUAUCUGUCAAGAGCAUCCCAUCCAGCGAGCCCUCCACCUUUGGCGUCCCCAACACCCCACCCUCUCCUGGUUCUCUGCUCACCCGGCGCUCCCAAGCCCUGCUGCUAAAGACACUCGUCUCUAUUACACCGGCCGAUCUUAACUUCCUGCACAGUGGCUGUCUUCCCCAGCCAUGCAGAACUGUCUCCGUCACCACCACCCACAGAAAAGACUGCACAACACACCCAGAAUAUCAAGUAGUGGAUGGCACGCACACCCUGAAAAUGACUGCCAGUCUGACCAACUCCAGCCCGGGACGGCCCAGGGGAGUCCUUACAGACUGUGUUUCCCAAAGCUUCCUGGAAGUGGAGUGCUGCCCUUUCUCCCUUUCUGACAACAGAGUCAGAGCCUGUCCUUUCUGCAGACCGCAUCAGCACCCGCAGCCUCUGGCCUCUUCAGUCCCCACCCUCUGGGCUGGCUCUGGCCUGGUGGUAGCUGUUUCCGUCUGGAUUACCCAGCCUGGGGCAGAGGCGUAGGAACAGCUGGGCUUUGGGUGAAGUCUGGGAGAUGAAUCAAGAGACCAUUUCAACAAUCUGCCCCCCUGAGCCCAGGGUCUGGGUGAUGCUUUUUCAACCAGGGACCUGGGUAAGAUCUUCUGACUCCUGGAGAGAAAAGGCCCUGGGAGGAGAGCCAUUCUUAAACUGUUAUUAUUUCUCCAAGGAUUUAUAGGAAACAUCAACUAAUUUACUCAAGAUUUAAUUUGUUGAAAAUGUAAUGUAUUUAGCCUAAGUGAAAUAACAGGUCAUUUCCUUUUUUCUUCAGAGUUCAGUUGUUAGUCUGAUU
This 1044-nucleotide long non-coding RNA is filed under the name Fukomys damarensis (Damara mole-rat). Its description in RNAcentral is "lncRNA (ENSFDAG00000025237.1)". Lineage: Eukaryota; Metazoa; Chordata; Mammalia; Rodentia; Bathyergidae. The record is from RNAcentral.